Molecule: ribosomal RNA, 767 nt
Filed under: Salmonella enterica subsp. enterica serovar Berta
Lineage: Bacteria; Pseudomonadati; Pseudomonadota; Gammaproteobacteria; Enterobacterales; Enterobacteriaceae
Also listed under: 2 other names
Description: partial 23S ribosomal RNA
Rfam family: Bacterial large subunit ribosomal RNA
Source: RNAcentral
GUGGACGCCAGUCUGCAUGGAGCCGACCUUGAAAUACCACCCUUUAAUGUUUGAUGUUCUAACGUGGACCCGUUACCCGGGUUGCGGACAGUGUCUGGUGGGUAGUUUGACUGGGGCGGUCUCCUCCUAAAGAGUAACGGAGGAGCACGAAGGUUGGCUAAUCCUGGUCGGACAUCAGGAGGUUAGUGCAAUGGCAUAAGCCAGCUUGACUGCGAGCGUGACGGCGCGAGCAGGUGCGAAAGCAGGUCAUAGUGAUCCGGUGGUUCUGAAUGGAAGGGCCAUCGCUCAACGGAUAAAAGGUACUCCGGGGAUAACAGGCUGAUACCGCCCAAGAGUUCAUAUCGACGGCGGUGUUUGGCACCUCGAUGUCGGCUCAUCACAUCCUGGGGCUGAAGUAGGUCCCAAGGGUAUGGCUGUUCGCCAUUUAAAGUGGUACGCGAGCUGGGUUUAGAACGUCGUGAGACAGUUCGGUCCCUAUCUGCCGUGGGCGCUGGAGAACUGAGGGGGGCUGCUCCUAGUACGAGAGGACCGGAGUGGACGCAUCACUGGUGUUCGGGUUGUCAUGCCAAUGGCACUGCCCGGUAGCUAAAUGCGGAAGAGAUAAGUGCUGAAAGCAUCUAAGCACGAAACUUGCCCCGAGAUGAGUUCUCCCUGAGACUUUAGGUCUCCUGAAGGAACGUUGAAGACGACGACGUUGAUAGGCCGGGUGUGUAAGCGCAGCGAUGCGUUGAGCUAACCGGUACUAAUGAACCGUGAGGCUUAACCUU